Molecule: ribosomal RNA, 756 nt
Filed under: uncultured archaeon
Lineage: Archaea
Description: bacterial SSU rRNA
Rfam family: Archaeal small subunit ribosomal RNA
Source: RNAcentral
GCGAGUCUUUGCAGUAAUGCAAGGCAGACGGCUCAGUAACACGUAGUCAACUUACCCUAUGGACGAGGAUAAUCUCGGGAAACUGAGCAUAAUACUCGAUAGAUCAUAAUGCCUGGAAUGGUUUAUGGUUAAAACGAUUCGUCACCAUAGGAUGGGACUGCGGCCUAUCAGCUUGUUGGUGAGGUAAUGGCCCACCAAGGCGAUUACAGGUACGGGCUCUGAGAGGAGAAGCCCGGAGAUGGGUACUGAGACAAGGACCCAGGCCCUAUGGGGCGCAGCAGGCGAGAAAACUUUGCAAUGUGCGAAAGCACGACAAGGUUAAUCCGAGUGAUUUCUGCUAAAGAAAUCUUUUGCAAGUCAUAAAACCACUAGUGAAUAAGGGGUGGGCAAGUUCUGGUGUCAGCCGCCGCGGUAGAACCAGCACCUCAAGUGGUCAGGAUGAUUAUUGGGCCUAAAGCAUCCGUAGCCGGCUUUGUAAGUUUUCGGUUAAAUCCAUGUGCUCAACGCAUGGGCUGCCGAAAAUACUGCAUGGCUAGGGAGUGGGAGAGGUAGACGGUACUCAGUAGGAAGGGGUAAAAUCCUUUGAUCUAUUGAUGACCACCUGUGGCGAAGGCGGUCUACCAGAACACGUUCGACGGUGAGGGAUGAAAGCUGGGGGAGCAAACCGGAUUAGAUACCCGGGUAGUCCCAGCUGUAAACGAUGCAGACUCGAUGAUGCAUUGGCAUAAUAGCCAGUGCAGUGUCGCAGGGAAGCCG